Molecule: long non-coding RNA, 809 nt
Filed under: Homo sapiens (human)
Lineage: Eukaryota; Metazoa; Chordata; Mammalia; Primates; Hominidae
Description: HSALNT0179822
Source: RNAcentral
CUAACUCUGUUUCUCAAUAUUUGUUUACCCAAGGAGACAAGCACUCUUCAGCCCCUCUGGUGUGUGCAUUUCUGUUGGAAGCAACCAGGCUGGGUGCCAAUGGAGAUGAGCCCACACCUGGCUCAGAGGGCCUGUGGCAGCAUGACUUGUGCACUGCUUCAUGGUGGUCGCUGACCUGGCAGGUUAUCAUCCACUUCCCAGGAUUCUCGGCUAUCAUUUCUGUUGUGCCAGGACACAGAUUCUCCAACACACAUAUCAGGCUCCGGGAAGUUUCCGAAGAGGUAUCCAUUGAGGGCUGGAAACAGAAACACGCUAGUGGAAGAGACUCCCCUGCAGAGGCGACUGGGACCAGAAAUAGAAAACACUCAAUAAAAGUGAAGAUCAGCAUACACUGAGAACAGCCUCGGAGCUGCUGUGGGAACGCAAUAUGAGGUCAGGAGAAAACAGAGUGCUGCUCAUAUUUACAGGAGGCUCAGUCACCUUCUGUCAUAAUCCUUCACUGGCAUAUCUGCUGUCUUCACCAGAUUCUGUGCUCCUUGGAACUAGAAACCCUGUCUUGUUCAUCUUAACAGUUAUCAGGACCUAGCAGAAAAACUGGCACAUAGUAUCUACUUAAUGAAGUGACAAAAGCAUGUAGUAAGAUGGAAAGAAAAGGAAUUGAUUAAAAGGAAUUUAUGAGAACUGUUUUGUUUGUUUGUUUGUUUACUUUAAAAAGCCAAGAGAAAAACAGUUUUUACUACAUGUUGCUGGAGCAGAAUCUUAUUAAGUUUAUGGCGUAAAUCCAGGACCGAAUACUUUAAAACCAUCUA